RNAcentral lists this unclassified non-coding RNA (347 nucleotides) under soil metagenome. RNAcentral describes it as "partial contains 5.8S ribosomal RNA, internal transcribed spacer 2, and large subunit ribosomal RNA". The stretch from base 1 to 120 matches the Rfam family "5.8S ribosomal RNA", at positions 35 to 154 of the family's 154-position model. The record is from RNAcentral.
GAUGAAGAACGUAGCAAAAUGCGAUAAGUAAUGUGAAUUGCAGAAUUCAGUGAAUCAUCGAAUCUUUGAACGCACAUUGCGCCCGCUGGUAUUCCGGCGGGCAUGCCUGUUCGAGCGUCAUUUCAACCCUCAAACCCCCCGGGUUUGGUGUUGGGGAUCGGCUCUGCCUCACGGCGGUGCCGCCCCCGAAAUACAUUGGCGGUCUCGCUGCAGCCUCCAUUGCGUAGUAGCUAACACCUCGCAACUGGAACGCGGCGCGGCCAUGCCGUAAAACCCCAACUUCUGAAUGUCGACCUCGGAUCAGGUAGGAAUACCCGCUGAACUUAAGCAUAUCAAUAAGCGGAGGA